Small nuclear RNA from Mesoplodon densirostris (Blainville's beaked whale), 107 nucleotides. The record is from RefSeq and is a predicted model, not a curated record. NCBI's taxonomy places the organism in Eukaryota, Metazoa, Chordata, Mammalia, Artiodactyla, Ziphiidae.
GUGUUCGCUUCAGCAGCACAUAUACUGAGAUUGGAAUGAUACAGAGAAGAUUAGCAUGACCCCUGUGCAAGGAUGACAUUCAAGUUUGUGAAGUGUUCCAUACUUAA